RNAcentral lists this transfer RNA (77 nucleotides) under Schistocerca americana (American grasshopper). RNAcentral's name for it is "tRNA-Trp". It matches the Rfam family "tRNA". Rfam says of the family: Transfer RNA (tRNA) molecules are approximately 80 nucleotides in length. Lineage: Eukaryota; Metazoa; Arthropoda; Insecta; Orthoptera; Acrididae. The record is from RNAcentral.
GCUUGGGUAGCUCAGUUGGUAGAGCGCUUGCCCGCCAAAGGCAAAGGUCCCGAGUUCGAGUCUCGGUCCGACUUACA